Molecule: ribosomal RNA, 216 nt
Filed under: uncultured bacterium
Lineage: Bacteria
Description: partial 16S ribosomal RNA
Rfam family: Bacterial small subunit ribosomal RNA
Source: RNAcentral
UGGGAACGUACCCUUUGGUUCGGGACAACUCCGGGAAACUGGAGCUAAUACCGGAUAAGCCCUAUGGGGGAAAGAUUUAUCGCCGAAGGAUCGGCCCGCGUCGGAUUAGCUAGUUGGUGGGGUAAGAGCCUACCAAGGCGACGAUCCGUAGCUGGUCUGAGAGGAUGACCAGCCACACUGGGACUGAGACACGGCCCAGACUCCUACGGGAGGCAG